AUUAACCUACGGGGCGCAGCAGUGGGGAAUAUUGCACAAUGGGCGCAAGCCUGAUGCAGCGACGCCGCGUGCGGGAUGGAGGCCUUCGGGUUGUAGACCGCUUUUGUUCAAGGGCAAGGCACGGUCUUUGGCCGUGUUGAGUGGAUUGUUCGAAUAAGCACCGGCUAACUACGUGCCAGCAGCCGCGGUAAUACGUAGGGUGCAAGCGUUAUCCGGAUUUAUUGGGCGUAAAGGGCUCGUAGGCGGUUCGGUGCGUCCGGUGUGCA
RNAcentral lists this ribosomal RNA (266 nucleotides) under uncultured bacterium. RNAcentral describes it as "partial 16S ribosomal RNA". It matches the Rfam family "Bacterial small subunit ribosomal RNA", at positions 333 to 598 of the family's 1533-position model. The record is from RNAcentral.